RNAcentral lists this long non-coding RNA (3666 nucleotides) under Solanum tuberosum (potato). RNAcentral's name for it is "long non-coding RNA (STUB_LNC005063)". The record is from RNAcentral. Lineage: Eukaryota; Viridiplantae; Streptophyta; Magnoliopsida; Solanales; Solanaceae.
CAAAAAUGAAAAAAGAGAACUGCAAGAACUCUAAAUCUUCUGGAUUGAACUGCUCUUGCCUUCAAAACAUCUUUUCCAUAAAUAGCUUGAUUGAAAAUUAUGCAACAACUUCUCAUUAAUAGCUUUUGGUAGGAUCUGCUAUUUGUUAAAGUAUACUUCCUGUUUUCUCAACUUCCGUUUUCCCUUCUGUUUCUGGACAACCUGGAGAAGAUUUAGAAACAGCCAACAGUAACAUAAAUAAUUACAAUAUAGAUCCUGCUAGUAUGCAAUAAAUUGUGUAAAAAUAAUCAUCCCAAACAAAUUUUAGAUCUACAUAGAAAUAUAUUGCAGUGUUAUAAAAGGCAAAUAGCAAAUCAAAACACCAAGGUCUUCUAGGAUUUUACCUUAUAAAACAGUUCGAUGCAAUGAUACAAUUUAAAGUUUCUAAUUAAUAUUUAGUGACUAGUAUUCUAAGCUAUAUUUCUAUUUUUUUUAAUCAUCAAUAUAUCUAUUUAAUCUAACCUCUGCAUAAAAUUAGUGCAUCACUUUAGCUCUCUCUCUCUCUUCAAAGCAAAGUCUGUAUGAUGAGGUGCAUGCCCCUUGGUGCUUGAUUUUUUUUUCCUUCAUUGGUGCUUGAGUUGAAGUGCCACCUAAGUGAAAUGAAGUGCGAUGUUUUGGGGUUUAUGCUUCACCAAGUUUUAGGUGGCAAACACAUAAACUGACCCUUUCACAACACUAAUAUACCAAAAUCCUAGUUUUGUAACAUGUAGGAGGUUUUUCCCUUUUCAUUUUUAGUCUUCACAGACUCAGUUAAUGAUGUCUUUCAGAAAAGUAGCUAUGAACAUCUCUUCUAAAUUUAAAUGGUGGGACAGUUUUCUCUUCCUGUGGUUCCUACAAAAAGCAGGUGGUAUCAACCAUAGUAUUACUCUAAGUUGGUCUCUGCCAAGCACUAACUUUUUAUGAUGAGCUUUUGAUACGCUAUUGAGCCUCAAUAACUGUUAGAUUGUAAAGAAUUAUACAUCAUUCGUCAAAUGUCAGUCGAGCACUAGCUUUUCAUGAAGAGCUUUUGGUGAGCUGAUAUUAAAAAUUAUAGACCAACUGCCUUGCAACCUAAGAGUUGCCCAAAUUCUUGCAUCUGUAUGUUCCUUGUUCUCUCUAGACCCAUUUGGACCAAAACUCAACCAUUCACACGUAUCUUGUUUCUCUUCUUGUUGCCUGCCAGGCUCUACGUCCUUUUUCCUUCCUGUUUGAAAAUGAAAACUUAUUUGACAUAUUCCUUGGGCAGGCAUCUCCAUGGUGAAGAUUCUAUUUGGACCUUGCUAAUAGAGUGACUUUUGAUACCCUUUUUGAAAAGUAUUUUUCAGGCGAACCUUCCGAUCUUAUUGAUCUUCCGCAGGCUUAUCUCACUAGAUCAUUAUUCAUUUACUUAAGAUUGUAGUACCAUUCUGGUUAUUUUUCAAGCUGACCGAGCUGCUUGUUUAUAUGCAUGACAUCUUCUCUUUGCAUUUUUUCAAUCUAAGGAUUAUUCCAUCAUUAUAUCAACACCUAGUGGAGAUACAACUUAUAUCCUGAUUUUCAGCUUAGACAUUUUCCAGGUGAUCUUUGUGCAGAUUUUUGUUCACAAAUUUCAUUCUUCUUCAAGGAUAAUGUAAAUUUUUUUAUUUUUUUUUGAGAACUGAGAAAUCCAUCUGUGACCCACCCUUUGGACCAAUCACAGCCUUCUAAACUCGGUGGAUAAUGGGCCCGCCCUCUACCCUUCUCCACUUAAAAUACCGGGCUUCGCUUUGCAUGGUGUGGGCUUGAACCUGCGACCUAAGCCACAAAUCCUCCACCUUUUGCCACUUGAGCUAGGCCUUGGGUGCAGGGAUAAUGUAAAUUUUUUUAUUUUUUUUGUAUAACCGAGAAAUCCGUCUGUGACCCACCCUUUGGACCAAUCACAGCCUUCUAAACUCGGUGGAUAAUGGGCCCGCCCUCUACCCUUCUCCACUUAAAAUACCGGGCUUCGCUUUGCAUGGUGUGGGGCUUGAACCUGCGACCUAGCCACAAUCCUCCACCUUUUGCCUACUUGAGCUAGGCCUUGGGGGCAGGGAUAAUGUAAAUUUUUUAUUUUUUUGAUAACCGAGAAAUCCGUCUGUGACCCACCCUUUGGACCAAUCACAGCCUUCUAAACUCGGUGGAUAAUGGGCCCGCCCCUCUACCCUUCUCCACUUAAAUACCGGGCUUCGCUUUGCAUGGUGUGGGGCUUGAACCUGCGACCUAAGCCACAAAUCCUCCACCUUUUGCCACUUGAGCUAGGCCUUGGGGGCAGGGAUAAUGUAAAUUUCCAAAGUAUAUUUGUUGAGUUUACCAAAGUUUUCAUCUUUUUCUUAUUUAUUUGGAACAUUUACUUUUGGGUCCAACUUUAUAACAUAAGAUCGAGUUAAACCUUUUGUUAUUUGAUUCAUAUUUCAUAAGAUGUUAGCCAAGGGUCCUACUAUCUACUAUUUUUAAGGGGUCGUUUGGUUCGAAUACAAGUUAUGAUGGGAUAACUUAUGCUGGGAUUAUUUCUUAUUGAGUGUUUGGUUUGUUGUAUUCAAAAUAACAUGCAUUGCAUAAAUUUUAAAAACAAGUUGUUUGUUUACAAAAAACACCCUCCACUUUAUUUAGUUUUCUUUAUUCUUAAAAAUAAAACUUUCAUCUUAUUUAGCUUAAAUAUUUUUGUUUGUGCAUUCCCGUGAUGGUAUCGUAUGUAUUUAAAAAUAAAACUUUCUUCUUAUUUAGCUUAAAAAUAGAACUUCCAUCUUAAGUUUGUUAAAAUAAUUUGUUUUAUGAGAAAUCAAAAUAUAAAUAAACAUAAGAAUUAGUCAAAUAAAUUCAUAAAUAAAAAUUAUAUUUAUAUAGUGUAAUUUUUUAAUAGAAAAAUAUGAAGAAUUAUCAUAAAAUAAGAAGUGGUGAAGGUUGUGAAUGUUAUUAUACAUGGUAUUAAAAAUAAUGUAAAUAUUGAAUGUGAAAAGUGAUGUAUAUAAAGGGUUUAAAAAGAUAUUUUCGUCAUUUACCUAUGUUAUGCCGGGAUAAGUUAUACCGGGAUUACUAUACCACCCAAGGGGAGGGAUAACAUAUCCCGGUAUUAGUACCGGGAUAAGUUAUCCCACACUUGCCAACCAAACAACACAUUAAGUGCCACUAUAAUUUAAUCCCAGGACUAUUUGAUGUUAUCCUUCACACUAAACGACCCCUAAGUGGAGAGUAUCUCUGGCUAUUCAGUGAAAUUUACAUCACAUUUUGGCAAGUAACUGACUUUGAGAAAAGUGUAGAUGAAAUUAAUGUGGUCAGAUCAAUACUUCCCUUCUUCAAAGUCUUUUGAAGCAGAUCUUCAAUAAUAAGCAGCAGAUACAAAUUGAUGCGACUUUUUAAGUUAACAAAAGAAACAAGAAACUUAUUCUGAAAAGAAAAUAACAAACAAGAAGUCUUAUUCUUGGGAGGAGAGAAGUCCUAUUUUUGGUGCAAGGAAACUUCAAACUUGGGCUUCUUGCACUUCUUUCAUGACUUGGUGACAUGAUUUGUCGAGUUAGCAAAGGGCCAAUCGAGGAGGAUCGUGAUUUUCAAGAAGAAACAAGGGUUGAGUGGUUUCAUAGAACAUGAAAAAUUAGUGCAACCCAUACUCACCAAGCUCUAAGUUGCAUUUUUCCAGCUUGUCAUAGAGUUUCU